UACGUAGGGGGCAAGCGUUGUCCGGAUUUAUUGGGCGUAAAGAGCUCGUAGGCGGUGUGUCGCGUCGGUCGUGAAAACUUGGGGCUUAACCCUGAGCUUGCGGUCGAUACGGGCAUCACUGGAGUUCGGCAGGGGAGACUGGAAUUCCUGGUGUAGCGGUGAAAUGCGCAGAUAUCAGGAGGAACACCGGUGGCGAAGGCGGGUCUCUGGGCCGAUACUGACGCUGAGGAGCGAAAGCGUGGGGAGCGAACAGG
This 254-nucleotide ribosomal RNA is filed under the name uncultured bacterium. Its description in RNAcentral is "partial 16S ribosomal RNA". It matches the Rfam family "Bacterial small subunit ribosomal RNA", at positions 524 to 776 of the family's 1533-position model. The record is from RNAcentral.